CCCCGAGGAGGGGUGCCGCCCGCACCCCCCGCGGGAUCGGAGCUCCCCCACUCGGGCACCCCGAGGCCCCCGCACCCGCUCCCGGGGAGAACAUCGCCCGCCUCCCCCUUCCCCGCGGCCCCAGGAGGUUCCCGCCCGCAGGGACCCCCGGAACGAGGGCUCUGGGGCCCGCCGGGGCUCCGGCCACGGGCCCGCUCCGGACGCGGGGAGCCGGGGCCCUGCCGGGGCAGGAAGAACGGGGGCAGCCGCUCCCUCGUUCCUCCCGUGCUCCGGGACCCCGAGCAGAGCUGCCCGUCUGUCCCCGUGUCCCUGUGUCUGUCCUCAGGCGGGCCCCAGGAGCUGGCACUGACCGUGCCGCGGCUCGGGCACAGGCUGCUCCCAGCUCUGCCUGCGGAACUUCGGCAAUUGCCGACAGCAGUUCUUUGCCCCGCCAUCCAGAAGGUGCAGCUCAACUGACAUCUGCCAGACGGGGAAGGUCCUGCCUGGGUGGGAAACGGCUACAGAAGAGGAAACCAAGAAACGCUCCAACCGGACGCUGCCGCGCGAGUCAAAGGAGGGAAGAACCGCAGGGAAAUACAGUCAGGAAAGCCGCUUUUAUUAAAUCUCUGCAGCAUUAAAUCCCCCCUUCUCAGCCACGGCCGGAGGGAGCGCGGCCGGCUGGGCUGUGCCCGGCUGGGGACGGGCACCAAUUCAUCACUGCCCUGCUCAGGGAGGUUUUCCGGCCCCCGUUCAGGAUUCAUCCAAUGGUUGCAAAGGUGCUCGUGCAACGUCUUUUUCCAGGGAUAAAUGAGCCCAAUAAGCCCAGAGAAAUCCUUCGCUCCGAGGCAAAGGCGUCGGUCGAGUGUCCCCGCCUGGUUCCGCCUGCGGGGGCCGUCUCCUCCAGUUUCCCAGGGAGAAGAACAGGAACUCAAGGCCACCAAGGCCUGACAGUCCCCUGCAGCCAGAGCUCAGCACACACCCAGAGAGCCAAUUCCAGCAUCUAAAAGAAAAAAAAAGAAGACAAAAGUGAUUUAUUUUGUUUUAAAAUUAUUUGAAGUUGUUCCAAGCAAAGCAAGCCUUGCUCUGGUUUCAGCUGGGUGAACAGUGAGCGCUGGGCACAGGGCACGUCAUUAAUGCCCAGGGGAUGGGGCUUUGUGGGGGAGGGAAGAGCAGCUGAUGGAGUUGCCCAGUCCAAUUCCUGCCCAAGGCCUGACUGGCCCAGGACAAACCCUCUGGCAGGCAGUGGUUUUGUUCCCUCUAAUGGUCAGUGCCCCGUGUGUCCCUGUGGGCAGUGCCAGGCUGGGGACAGGCACACGCAGCUGGCAGCACUCUCUGCCCCAAACAGCCUCGGGGGGCAGCGCAGCCCCGGGGAUCGAGGGGGGCUGGAGGCGGCCCAGGAAAGGCCCCCCCGCUCCCCCCGGGGCAGCUCCACAGCCCCCCUGCCCUCUCUGCCACGGGGGCCCCGCUGCUCCCCCGGCUGGCACAGAGCCCCCUGCCCAUGGCUGGCAAACCAGGGCCAGGGCUCGGCCUCGCUGCAGCCGCCCCACACAGGAGCAACUCAGGGCUCAGCCCAACAUUUCCCUGCUUGGCCACUGCAGAGACCCUCAGUUCACCUCAACAGGUUCCUUCUCUUCCCAGCACAUUCCCUGAACUUUAACACCCCCAGUUUUCUGGGUCUGUCCCCACUCAUCACCUCAGGUUACCUCAGUGUGUUCAUUCCCUGCCCUGGACAGAAUGAACCUCCUUUUCAACCCACAAACUUUCCCCUUCCAGCCCACUCCUGAUUACCUCUUCCUGAACACAAAAGAGUCAUUCUCUGCCCUAGAGAUUAUCUCCUUUUUAACCCUCAGAGUCUUCCCUAAUGCACACUCCUGCUUACCUCUUUUGGACCUCCAAAUAUUCAUCCUCUGCCCUGCACAUUUGCUCCAGUUUGACCCCCACAAUUUUCCCUACCUCUCCACAUCUGAUCCCCUCAUGUAUACCUAAAUAUGUUCCUGCUCUACCCUACAGACCACCUCAAGUUUACUCUCCAAACUUUCCCCACCUCCUCAACAAUGACUGCCUCCUUUUCAACUCCAAAUAUUCAUUCUCCACGCUGGAGAGUUUCUCAAGGUUUACCUGUCCACUGAUGACUGCCUUAGUUUGUCCCAAAAUGUUCAUGCUCUCUGCCAGACACUGCCACACAUUUUACCCCCAGAACCUUCCCUGGGCCCACUGUGGUGUCCACUCCUGAUUGCCUCCUCUGCACCUCUCAGGAUUCAUUCUGGACCCUGGAGAUUACCUCAGAGAUUUCUGCCCUAAAUGUCCCCACCUGGCCACCACUGAUUACCUCAGGUGACCUCAUGAUGUCCUUUCUCUCCCCUGGAGAUAACCUCGUUCAAAACCCCCAAAGUUUGAACUCAAAAUAUUCAUUCUCUGCCCUGGACGUUCCCUCAAGUUUUACCCCUGUAAUUUUCCCCAUAUCUCCACAACUGAUUACCCCAGUUUACCUCAGGAUGUACAUUCUCUCUGCUCCACGGGACCUCAAAGUUUACAAACACAAAUUUCCCCUCCCUGCCCACCCCUGACUGCCUCACUUCACCCCAAGGUAUUCAUUCUCUCUGCUACAGAUUUUACUCCCAAAAUUCUCCUUACCUACCCACAUGUAAUCAGCUCCUCUGUACAAAUACAUGUGCAUUCUC
Pseudopipra pipra is the source of this 2660-nucleotide long non-coding RNA. RefSeq lists it as uncharacterized. The record is from RefSeq and is a predicted model, not a curated record. Lineage: Eukaryota; Metazoa; Chordata; Aves; Passeriformes; Pipridae. The transcript has 3 exons.